Molecule: small nucleolar RNA, 67 nt
Filed under: Choloepus hoffmanni (Hoffmann's two-fingered sloth)
Lineage: Eukaryota; Metazoa; Chordata; Mammalia; Pilosa; Megalonychidae
Description: Small nucleolar RNA SNORD58 (ENSCHOG00000015785.1)
Rfam family: Small nucleolar RNA SNORD58
About the family: snoRNA U58 is found in introns 1, 3 and 6 of the ribosomal protein RPL17 gene in humans. U58 is a member of the C/D class of snoRNA which contain C (UGAUGA) and D (CUGA) box motifs.
Source: RNAcentral
CUGCAAUGAUGGUAUUUCUUACGACACCUUUGAAUUAUUUCCUGAAAACAGCUGGUAUCUGAGCAGC